This 138-nucleotide transfer RNA is filed under the name bacterium. RNAcentral's name for it is "tRNA-Gly". The record is from RNAcentral.
GCGAGGUUAGUGGAGUGGGCUGAAUGCUCCAGUGGAGCAUUCAGCGGGAGACUGCGGUGUUUCGGAAAAAUAAAAGUCUCCCAGGAAGUACGAUUGCUUCCCAAGCAAUAAGCACGAGUCCGAUUCUCGUAUCCCGCU